This 415-nucleotide long non-coding RNA is filed under the name Brassica napus (rape). RNAcentral describes it as "long non-coding RNA (BNAP_LNC002313)". The record is from RNAcentral. Lineage: Eukaryota; Viridiplantae; Streptophyta; Magnoliopsida; Brassicales; Brassicaceae.
UCAAGCAAGCACAUGUCCUUGUGACCUCUUUUUAGUUUGCUUGAUAUAGUUCUCUUUAUAAAACUAUAUAUAGUUUUGUAAACCAUGCAUAUCAGUCGAUUAAUAAUUUUUGUAGGAGAGAUUACAAGCCUGCCUACGUCGUUGAAGUAAUGAAUUACAUGAGUUAGUAGCAUACAAUAUUAUCUAUAUAUCCUAGUUGAGUAAAUAAAAAUGACUUACACGUUAUACAUAUAUGGAUCAUAUUUAGUCAUAUAUAUCAUCAAUCUAACUCCUUUCUUUCACCAUUUUAAUUAAUUAUCUUGGUACUAUAAAUAUGUUCAAGAAACCAAUGGUAUAAUGAACGGAUAAUCCAUGCCGAGAGGAAGAAGAAAGUAGAGUAAAGAGCAGACAUUGAACUGGAAAAUAAAAUGUUGAU